This is a long non-coding RNA of Physella acuta, 1198 nucleotides long. RefSeq lists it as uncharacterized. Lineage: Eukaryota; Metazoa; Mollusca; Gastropoda; Physidae. The record is from RefSeq and is a predicted model, not a curated record.
GACUUAGCUUUUAGAGUUAGCCUACCGUGUUUUCUUGUAGUGACUUCGCUAUACUAACCGAGUGUCCAAGUCAUAAUUCCAGUUUUAUAUUAUUUGUCUACAUUUUAAAGUUUUUUUGGAGUGCUAUUUUUAAAGAUGCUUAUCAAAGUUAAAACUUUGACCGGUAAAGAGGUGAGUAUUAAUGAUUAAAGCUGUAAAAAAAAAUUUAAGUAGAUAUAACUAGGAUUAAAUUAUUUUUGAUAUGGAAGGACAUGAUAUAUCAGUAACCUAGUUGAAAUUGAAAAUAUUUCUGAAUUUAUUUACAAUCAUUGUUUCAGAUUGAAAUUGACAUUGAACCAACAGACAAGGUUGAAAGAAUCAAAGAACGAGUGGAAGAAAAGGAAGGCAUUCCACCUCAACAGCAGCGACUUAUUUUCAGUGGCAAACAAAUGAAUGAUGAAAAAACAGCAAGUGAUUAUAAAGUGGCUGGAGGAUCUGUCUUACAUCUUGUACUUGCACUAAGAGGAGGAUGUCUCUGAAAAAUGAAAGAAAUGUUUAACAAAUAAAUUUAAAAUUAAAUGCUUCAUCAGUCACAGAAUUUAAUGUUCAAACAAGAUUUGGUUGCUUUAAAAUGAUCCUUAAAAAUGUUAAGUUUUUAGUACUGCACUUUGAAACUGUUAAAAUGUAAAAAAAAAUACCUUUUUUUUUUUACCUCAAGCCAUAAUGAUUUCUUUAGAAAAAGAUUUUAUACAGUACUAAAACGUCUAAACUGGCUAUUAAAUGAUGUAAUAUAGACUGUACAAAAUAUUUUUGAACUUUUUUUAUUGUCAGUGUGAAAUCAACAAAGUUGAAUGGAUGACUACAUUAUUAUAAACACAAUUAUUAUUUAUUUUCUUCUGUUUUAUAUACUGACAAAAAGCAUUGAUAAAAAAGAAAAAUAUUUUCCAAUUACUUUAUAAGAACUAAAACUAUCAAAACAAGAAAGAAUUUUAUGCUCACAAAUUCCAGAAAUGAAUUAAUUAUAAAAUUUUCACAUUUAUUUAGCUCUCAAUACAUCAUCUUGUAAUGAUUUAUUCAUCACAAACUAGAAAUAAAUAUAAUACAGAAAACCUUUUUCUUAUUAGGUAUGAUUAGAUAAUAUUGAAGUGAUUGUUUGUUUGUUUAUUUUUGCUUAUUUUCCUUUUAAAUGUUUCAUUUAACUGAAUAAAUGACUGUUUAA